Long non-coding RNA from Hypomesus transpacificus, 1241 nucleotides. RefSeq lists it as uncharacterized. Lineage: Eukaryota; Metazoa; Chordata; Actinopteri; Osmeriformes; Osmeridae. The record is from RefSeq and is a predicted model, not a curated record. The transcript has 3 exons.
GUCAUGAUCCUACCACCUCCAUUUGCAGUAAUUGAUUUCGGAGGAGAUUCUUGCCCCCCACUGCUGCCCUUAGCUCCACCUCCCACCCACCUGUCACCAACUGUCUCUUCCCAUCUCAUCAAUGACCCAGGUGAGGUGACUAAAACGUGUACAUUCAAAUAUUUCCUAUUUGCUAAGUUGCUAUUUGGGUUUGAUAUUGAAUUUAUACAUCUUGAUACAAACAGAAAACCCUUUCUGUCAAGGUGGAAACAUGAACUGUGUUUGACUGCAUAUUUAAGAUUUAUUUUUAUUGUAUAUUCUGUCUCAUCCCCCAGAAUAGCCUCAAACACCUGUGAGCUUGAAUUCUUUAGUUUUUCAUUUAGGAGUGCAGGGGAAGGGCUCAGUGUAGCCACCAGUCUGUCUAAUCCAUGCCCCCUAAAGAGGUUUAAAACACUCUGGUUUCAUAUAAUCUUCUCGCUCAGACCCAGCCGAGCUUGAAACCUCCCCUUUGCCAUGAUAGGAAUGGACAAAUAAAGGUCUCUCCUAGCAUUCUCAUGAAAGGACACUGUGUGCUUGGUGGAUUAGGGCCUAGUGUUUUUUUUCUCCCUUUCUCAAUUAGACUGAAAAGGAUGGAAAAAAUAAAGACUCUUCUGUUUGCUCUCUAUAAUACCUGGCCUAAAGGUUUUGCAGGUCUGGCCUAUCUCUUCAGGGAAAUGCAUGUGAACCGGGGGAAUGGGGAAAAAUAUUUGUGUAGUCUGUGACAUAUAAUUGUUCGGUCAUAAAACAGGUAGAGUUUUGCACAUCUCCAAUGCAUGGAAUGCAAACAAAAACACAUAAAGAGAUGAUAAAAAUAUUUUACAAAAAUUAUACGAGGUGAACUUCAACCAGUGCGUUGCAUCCCCACUGGACAGAGUGCUUAGAAUGAUUAAGUCAGGCACUGGAAAGGACAGCUCUACCGGCAAAUAGGGUCCUUCAAGUUCAAAGGCGCAUGUUUUGCUUCUCCAUGCUUGCAAACACACAUCUCUGGUUUCCAAGAGAUGCCCAGGGCGUGAGCAGAGCGUCUCCAGAGUGAGCCGCUGAUGUCUCGCCCGCCCCCCUCUCCCCUGUACACCCUGCGGGGAGCUGGGGCGCCCAUAAACACCCUGCACUUCAGCUGUGAUGGAGGGGACCCCCCUCUGCUGUUCUCUGGGUCAGGCAAAGGGGAUGUUCACGUGUGGAAUCUGAACACCCGGAGGGCUGAGAAGGUUCUAGAAGGACACUCA